CCUGGAAGAACAAAAAGGGAGCAAAGCCAAGUUAGGAAGGGCGUCUCGGAGUUUCCCAGGGCACAAAGCCAGAAACCGUGCACGUAUCUGACAGCAGAUGAAGGCAGUGAGGUCCAGGAAGAGGCAGAGCACAAACAGAAAAAGUGCUCCUUCCUCAUAAAGCCUGGAAGCUGGUGGGACUGCCAGUUCCAGGGCUGCAUCCUGCACAAAGCCACACUACACCUGAUUCACAGCAACUGCUCUUCGAAUCACUCCAGAUGUGCUUUUACUUUAGGAAUGCUGCAUCUGACCUAAACUGGCAAUGGCUGAGCAUCCGCCUGCCUGUACAGCAUAAGCCUGGUCGCCUCUCACAUACCCUUUUCCUAGCCUUACUUUUAAAAGGAAUUGGCUGUAGAGUUUGCCAUGAUGGGGUACUUCAAACUUGUCACAUACCUCUCCAACAGUAAAAAAGCUGUCACUUGGCACUUGUAAGAAACAGCACUUGCUACUCUGCCAAACCA
Pezoporus flaviventris is the source of this 500-nucleotide long non-coding RNA. RefSeq lists it as uncharacterized. NCBI's taxonomy places the organism in Eukaryota, Metazoa, Chordata, Aves, Psittaciformes, Psittacidae. The record is from RefSeq and is a predicted model, not a curated record. The transcript has 2 exons.